UACCGGCAUCCAAAUGGGGAUGACCGAAGGACCAAAUGGGGUCAACANN
RNAcentral lists this non-coding RNA (49 nucleotides) under unclassified sequences. RNAcentral's name for it is "gut-2 RNA". It matches the Rfam family "gut-2 RNA". From Rfam's summary of the family: gut metagenomes. Environment (Cow rumen (57)) The record is from Rfam by way of RNAcentral.